GCCGUCGCGGUUAGACGAAGAACCCACAUGGAAUAAAUGUUUAUAUUAGUUAACGUUGAAUCCUUAGAGUUAUCUUAGUUUUUUUAGUGGGUAAAAUCAGUAUAAGUGCUGCUGUUUCUUUAAAAAUUUGGAGGGACUAAAAAACUUCGAUUUAAAACCAGGAUUAGAUACCCUGUUAUUCUUAGUAAUAGUUAGACAGGGUAGUAAAAGUUGUUCUUCAAACCCAAAGAUUUUGGCGGCACUUCAUCCAAAUAGAGGAGCUUGCCCCUUAAUCGAUAGUCCCCGUUUUAUCUUUCCUCUUCUUGUAAAGCUUGUAUACCGCCGUUGUCAGAUUACUUUUAGAGAAUGUUUUCAAAUCAAAGAACUUUUUUACUUCAGGUCAAGGUGCAGUUCAUGUAGGGGUGGAGGUGAGCUACAAUUUUUUCUAGAAAGACGAAUGCUGAGUUUUUAAAAUGGCUAAAGGUGGAUUUAUUAGUAAAAUGAUUUAAGUAAAAUUAUUUGAAUAAGGUAAUAAA
This 515-nucleotide ribosomal RNA is filed under the name Daphnia umbra. RNAcentral's name for it is "partial 12S ribosomal RNA". Lineage: Eukaryota; Metazoa; Arthropoda; Branchiopoda; Diplostraca; Daphniidae. The record is from RNAcentral.